AGAUGUUCCUAAACACAUCCAAGUCAAACUAGACAAGCUGGAGUUUGACUCCCUAGAAGCUCUUAAGAAAAGAAAAUACUGGAAGUUGCGGAGACCGGAAAUACGUGGAAUAAGUGACAAGUGACAACAACCCAAUGAAAGAACUCAAGGUGUACACAAGCUGUAAACUAUCUAGUAUUAUAUGUUUCACUGAAUUUAAAUAUGCACUCCUUGCCAUAUUAUCCACAAAAUGGCUUGUUGAAAAUUGUAUUAUAUUUUCCAGGCAUUGCAGUUGCAUGCAUUGUUUUAUGAUUUCUCUUAGUCUAUUAAACGGUUAUUGACAUAAUGAAAGAGGUGAAAAUGGGAAUCCAGUUAAUGUACUGUAUGAUGGGGUCAAAUGACCAGGUUAAUUUGGUUAGUCAUUUUUAUUCCUGUUUAAAUGUCUGAAUCUGUAAAAAAAAAAUCUGUAAAAAAAAAAAAAGUUGGAAAGAGAUGGUUAUACCUUGGGACUUAAAAAUCCCAAACAAAAAGAUUGAUAUAAUUUUAUGAGGUAUUGAAUUGACCAGUUUCUUUGACUGAGUUUCUACCAAAGAUAGAGCAGUGCCUUUAAACAUCACUAUCACAUUUACCUGUUAUGGCUUUUGUUUACAGAGUCAGGCCACUUCACCCUGUACUGUACUUGCAUUAAGCAUAUUCAAUAAUUCUCUGCCUGAAAAUAAACAUUUU
Pimephales promelas (fathead minnow) is the source of this 705-nucleotide non-coding RNA. Lineage: Eukaryota; Metazoa; Chordata; Actinopteri; Cypriniformes; Leuciscidae. The record is from RefSeq and is a predicted model, not a curated record.